RNAcentral lists this ribosomal RNA (464 nucleotides) under uncultured bacterium. RNAcentral describes it as "partial 16S ribosomal RNA". It matches the Rfam family "Bacterial small subunit ribosomal RNA", at positions 28 to 507 of the family's 1533-position model. The record is from RNAcentral.
GACGAACGCUGGCGGCGUGCCCAACACAUGCAAGUCGAGCGAAUGAAGUUCCUUCGGGAAUGGAUUUAGCGGCGGACGGGUGAGUAACACGUGGGCAACCUGCCUCAUAGAGGGGAAUAGCCUCCCGAAAGGGAGAUUAAUACCGCAUAAGAUUGUAGUACCGCAUGAUACAGCAAUUAAAGGAGCAAUCCGCUAUGAGAUGGGCCCGCGGCGCAUUAGCUAGUUGGUGAGGUAAUGGCUCACCAAGGCGACGAUGCGUAGCCGACCUGAGAGGGUGAUCGGCCACAUUGGGACUGAGACACGGCCCAGACUCCUACGGGAGGCAGCAGUGGGGAAUAUUGCACAAUGGGGGAAACCCUGAUGCAGCAACGCCGCGUGAGUGAUGACGGCCUUCGGGUUGUAAAGCUCUGUCUUCAGGGACGAUAAUGACGGUACCUGAGGAGGAAGCCACGGCUAACUACGUG